AAUCUGCUUCCGGCCUGCGAGCUCGGUGUUCCGCUUUUUGUGGGCCGGGUGGGUUUCCUAAUCUGGUUUCGUCUGCCUGGUUCAUCUGUGUGCGAUGGCUCCGGACUCGGAUCCCUUCCCUGAAGGGCCGCUCUUAAAGCUGCUACCCUUAGACGCUAGAGACCGGGGCACCCAGCGCUGCCGCCUGGGCCCGGCCGCCCUCCACGCCCUGGGCGCGCGCUUGGGCUCGGCAGUGAAGAUCUCGCUACCCGACGGCGGCUCCUGCCUCUGCACUGCCUGGCCUCGGCGGGACGGAGCGGACGGCUUUGUGCAGCUGGACCCGCUGUGCGCGAGCCCCGGGGCGGCGGUCGGGGCGUCGAGAUCCCGGAGGAGUCUCAGCCUGAAUCGCCUCCUCCUAGUGCCCUGUCCGCCCCUGCGGCGCGUCGCCGUGUGGCCGGUGUUGCGAGAGCGGGCAGGCGCGCCCGGUGCCCGGAAUACAGCCGCGGUGCUGGAGGCGGCACAGGAGCUGCUGAGAAACCGACCGAUCUCCCUGGGCCACGUGGUGGUCGCUCCGCCAGGCGCUCCUGGCCUGGUGGCUGCCUUGCACAUCGUCGGCGGGACGCCCAGUCCCGAUCCCGCUGGGCUGGUCACCCCUCGUACCCGCGUCAGCCUUGGCGGGGAGCCUCCGUCGGAAGCCCAGCCGCAGCCCGAGGUGCCCCUGGGAGGUCUUUCGGAGGCGGCCGACUCGCUGCGGGAGCUCCUCCGCCUCCCGCUCCGCUACCCGCGCGCCCUGACCGCGCUGGGCUUAGCGGUGCCUCGCGGGGUGCUCCUGGCGGGGCCCCCCGGAGUGGGCAAGACCCAGCUGGUGCGGGCCGUGGCGCGCGAGGCGGGCGCGGAGCUGCUGGCAGUCAGCGCCCCGGCGCUGCAGGGUUCCCGGCCUGGGGAGACCGAGGAGAACGUGCGGCGGGUCUUCCAGCGCGCCCGGGAACUGGCCAGCCGCGGACCCAGCCUCCUCUUCCUGGACGAGAUGGACGCCUUGUGUCCCCAGCGGGGCAGUCGAGCACCCGAGAGCCGCGUAGUGGCCCAGGUGUUGACGCUGCUGGACGGCGCCAGUGGGGACCGCGAGGUCGUGGUUGUGGGAGCCACUAACCGGCCGGACGCUCUAGACCCAGCGCUGCGUAGGCCCGGGAGAUUUGACCGAGAGGUGGUCAUUGGGACUCCCACACUUAAACAAAGAAAGGAAAUUCUGCAAGUGAUUACCUCGAAGAUGCCCAUCUCCAGUCAUGUUGAUUUGGGCCUUCUUGCAGAAAUGACAGUUGGCUAUGUUGGUGCCGACCUGACAGCACUCUGUAGGGAGGCUGCCAUGCAUGCCCUCCUUCAUAGUGAGAAGUUCCAGGUUUGACCAUAAGCACCUCUCACUUAGGUGGACCAGUCAGCUGCUGUCGUCCCAGGGUGGAGCCCACUGCUACUUCAGGAGGGGCCUGCUCAGGUGUAGUUACCACAGGUGAUGGCUGAGUUCAGAAACAACCCAGGGGAAGUGGAAGGAAGAAAGGCAAAAAGCAUGAAGGGACAGACAACUGGGAAGAACCAGGACAAUCCUGUGAUUGAUGAAAUAGACUUCCUUGAAGCUUUUAAAAAUAUUCAGCCCUCAUCGUUUCGAAGCGUCAUUGGAUUAAUGGAUAUCAAGCCUGUUGACUGGGAGGAGAUUGGUGGCCUUGAAGAUGUAAAACUGAAGUUAAAACAGAGCAUUGAGUGGCCUCUGAAAUUCCCUUGGGAAUUUGUUAGAAUGGGCCUGACACAACCAAAGGGAGUUCUCCUCUAUGGGCCCCCUGGAUGUGCUAAAACCACUCUGGUGAGGGCCCUGGCCACAAGCUGUCACUGCUCUUUCGUUUCAGUGAGUGGAGCUGAUCUGUUUUCACCGUUUGUUGGAGAUUCAGAAAAAGUGUUGUCUCAGAUAUUUCGACAAGCAAGAGCAAGCACUCCAGCAAUUUUGUUUUUGGAUGAAAUUGAUUCAAUCUUGGGAGCUCGCUCAGCCAGCAAGACAGGAUGUGAUGUUCAAGAACGAGUUCUUUCUGUUCUCCUGAAUGAAUUAGAUGGUGUUGGACUUAAGACAAUAGAGAGAAGAGGAAGUAAAUCAAGUCAACAGGGUAAAUACAAGGAGCUGAAAAAAUGAAGAGAGUUUCAAGAAGUUUUUAACCGAAGUGUCAUGAUUAUUGCAGCAACAAAUAGACCUGAUGUGUUAGAUACUGCUUUGUUACGACCUGGAAGAUUAGAUAAGAUCAUCUAUAUCCCACCUCCAGAUCACAAGGGCAGGCUUUCUAUUUUAAAAGUCUGUACAAAAACCAUGCCAAUAGGGCCUGAUGUCUCCUUAGAAAACCUCGCAGCAGAAACCUGUUUUUUUUCUGGAGCUGAUCUUAGAAACCUCUGCACAGAAGCUGCUUUGCUGGCUCUGCAAGAAAAUGGACUAGACGCAACUACAGUGAAACAAGAGCACUUUCUAAAAUCACUUAAGACUGUAAAACCGUCGUUAAGUUGCAAGGACUUGGCUUUAUAUGAAAACUUAUUUAAGAAAGAAGGAUUUUCUAACGUGGAAGGUAUUUAAAAAUCACCUUAAACUCUUGUUCAGUUCACAUUAAUUGAAAUGUGAACUUGCCUGUCGUUUGCAACUUCACACUUUUAGAAUUUGUGUUUAUAUUUCCUGUAAGUGAAUAAAUAAAACAAAACAAAACAAAAAAAACUUGUGCCUGAUAAGCUAAGGCUCAUUUAUUUUUAAAAGGCAUAUUAAAUAAAAUACUGUAAUUUAGGAA
RNA transcript from Homo sapiens (human), 2786 nucleotides. It is a transcript of the gene named AAA ATPase AFG2B, with no coding region annotated. Lineage: Eukaryota; Metazoa; Chordata; Mammalia; Primates; Hominidae. The record is from RefSeq and is marked validated. The transcript is spliced from 9 exons.